RNAcentral lists this ribosomal RNA (253 nucleotides) under uncultured bacterium. RNAcentral's name for it is "partial 16S ribosomal RNA". It matches the Rfam family "Bacterial small subunit ribosomal RNA", at positions 524 to 776 of the family's 1533-position model. The record is from RNAcentral.
UACGAAGGGGGCUAGCGUUGCUCGGAAUCACUGGGCGUAAAGGGUGCGUAGGCGGGUCUUUAAGUCAGGGGUGAAAUCCUGGAGCUCAACUCCAGAACUGCCUUUGAUACUGAGGAUCUUGAGUACGGGAGAGGUGAGUGGAACUGCGAGUGUAGAGGUGAAAUUCGUAGAUAUUCGCAAGAACACCAGUGGCGAAGGCGGCUCACUGGCCCGUAACUGACGCUGAGACACGAAAGCGUGGGUAGCAAACAGG